This 333-nucleotide ribosomal RNA is filed under the name Triticum aestivum (bread wheat). RNAcentral's name for it is "partial small subunit ribosomal RNA". Lineage: Eukaryota; Viridiplantae; Streptophyta; Magnoliopsida; Poales; Poaceae. The record is from RNAcentral.
AUGGAAAAGAGUGCUUCUCAGCCUACAGAAGAUGGCCAACAAUCCAACUCUGCAACCAAGGAUGUGGCUGAAGUUCUUACUAAGCACACUAAGAAGCCGAUGUUUCUUAAGCAUGUGAGGGUCCAACACGUGCAUGAGAGAUCCAGUCAUAGCGACUGUGAGGUAGAACAGGAAGCACAGAAGAGGGGGACAACCGAGCUUCAGGCCCGUGUUGAAACCUUGACCAAUCAGUUAAAGGAAUCAGAAGAAGCAAGGAUCCGGCAAGAAGAAGCAAGGACCAAGCAAGAAGAGGAGAACAGGAAAAAGCAAGUGCACUUGGAAGCUAAAUUAGAC